GCCUAAACCCUGGCCCCGCUUUUCUCCCAACUUUACCCAACAAAAUAAAACAUUCUCCCCAUUAAGUAACGGCGAUUAAAAAAUAAUUAGGAGCCAUAGAUAUAGUACCGCAAGGGAAAUAAUGAAAUAAAAUGAAAAACACAAAGCACAUUUAAGCAAAGUUUUGAUCUUGUACCUUUUGCAUCAUGGUCUAGCUAGUUUAACCAAGCAGAACGCACUUAAAGUUUGACCUCCCGAAACUAAGCGAGCUACUCUAAAGCAACCUCACAGGGCCAACCCGUCUCUGUAGCAAAAGAGUGGGAAGACUUUAGGGUAGAGGCGAUAAACCUACCGAGCUUAGAGAUAGCUGGUUAUUCAAGAAAAGGAUCUUAGUCCACCUUUAAGUUUUUCAAGUACCCCAAACAUCCUUAAACACCCCAUAAACUUAAAAGCCAUUCAAACAAGGUACAGCCUGUUUGAAAAAGGGAACAGCCUACGACACAGGGUAACGGUUUACCUAAUGUGACCAAGUUGGCCUAAAAGCAGCCAUCUUCCAAAGAGCGUCCAAGCUUUAUCACAAACCCCUCACUAAUCCCAAAAUUAACCCACAACCCCCAACCACUACUGAAUCUCCCCAUACCCCUUAUGGGUGAUAUCAUGCUAGAACUAGUAAAAAGAAAAAGCCCUUCUCCAAAAUGUAAACGUAAGCCAAAAUGAACACUCACCGGCAAUUACCGCCAUAAACCUGCAGUAUCAACAUUACAAGAAAAUUAUACUCCAACUGACGUCAACCUUACACCAGAACAUUCCUGUGAAAGAUUAAAAAGGGGGGAAGGAACUCGGCAAACAUCAGCCCCGCCUGUUUACCAAAAACAUCGCCUCUUGACAAGACAUAAGAGGUCUAGCCUGCCCAGUGAUAAAAUUAAACGGCCGCGGUACCCUAACCGUGCGAAGGUAGCACAAUCACUUGUUCUUUAAAUUAGGACCAGUAUGAACGGCCUCACGAGAGCUACACUGUCUCCCCCCCUCAAUCAGUGAAACUGAUCUCCUCGUGAAGAAGCGAGGAUACCCAUACAAGACGAGAAGACCCCAUGGAGCUUUAAACUUGUACCACCGUCUUCGACUUAUACCAAUAAACUUAGGCAAACAAUGGCUACGAGUCUUUCGGCUGGGGCGACCAUGAAGAAAAACUAAACCUUCACGAUGAAAGGAGACAACUCCUAAUCAAAGAGCUACCACUCAAAGAAUCAAUAAACUGACAUAUUGACCCAAUAUUUUGAUCAACGAACCAAGUUACCCUGGGGAUAACAGCGCAAUCCACUUCAAGAGACCCCAUCGACAAGUGGGCUUACGACCUCGAUGUUGGAUCAGGGUAUCCCAGUGGUGCAGCCGCUACUAAAGGUUCGUUUGUUCAACGAUCAAAACCCU
Molecule: ribosomal RNA, 1407 nt
Filed under: Cophyla pollicaris (common giant treefrog)
Lineage: Eukaryota; Metazoa; Chordata; Amphibia; Anura; Microhylidae
Description: partial 16S ribosomal RNA
Rfam family: Bacterial large subunit ribosomal RNA
Source: RNAcentral